RNAcentral lists this small RNA (1622 nucleotides) under Pan troglodytes (chimpanzee). RNAcentral's name for it is "retained intron". The record is from RNAcentral. Lineage: Eukaryota; Metazoa; Chordata; Mammalia; Primates; Hominidae.
GCCGAGCAGGAGGCGCCAUCAUGGGAGUGGACAUCCGCCACAACAAGGACCGAAAGGUUCGGCGCAAGGAGCCCAAGAGCCAGGAUAUCUACCUGAGGCUGUUGGUUAAGUUAUACAGGUUUCUGGCCAGAAGAACCAACUCCACAUUCAACCAGGUUGUGUUGAAGAGGUUGUUUAUGAGUCGCACCAACCGGCCGCCUCUGUCCCUUUCCCGGAUGGUGAGUGGCUGGUCCAGAGAGCACAGUAGACCUGGGAGCCGCUGGGUCUUGUCUGUCUGGAAGGGAGGCAGGACUUGGAGCUCUGGGAGCAACCGGGGCAUCAAGGGUUUGUCUCAGCCAGUCACGAGCGUAGAGCUUGGACUGUUGGUUGGAACUGAGUGUCCAUGGGCAGUGGGCAAGUCUCCUGGUCCUCCUCUCCUUCUCUUUGUGAGGUGGAGGUGUCCUGGUGGCUUCAGGAGAUUGCCCCAAGUCAUAACUGAGUUUUAUGUCAAAGGCCCUGCUGAGGGAGGCCCUAUUGAACAGUCUGCAUUUUUUUUUUUUAUCUGGAGCUUUCCCCAGCUGGACCUGAGGAGAGGCCUGUGGGGUUUAAGAGGUGUGGUGUGAGUGGGGGGUCCCGUUAGAGGGCACAGCUGCCCUGGUCUGGGGAUGCCUCAAGCGGGGCUGAAUGUAAACACCAGAACAACUUACGAUGUACAUCCUCCCCACCCUAAGAUCCGGAAGAUGAAGCUUCCUGGCCGGGAAAACAAGACGGCCGUGGUUGUGGGAACCAUAACUGAUGAUGUGCGGGUUCAAGAGGUGCCCAAACUGAAGGUGAGCUGGCAGGGGCUGGGCAGACCCAUCAGAUCCUUGCUUUGCUGUGCUGGUCCAUCCUCAGUCUUGCCAUCGCUGGUGAGGCAAGCAUCCUGCCUGUCUGAGUGGCUUUGAGGAUUGGUGUGGGUCGUCUCUGGCAUGGUUGAUGGUGGGGUCCCCUGGGCAAGCUUUUUCUGGGGCAAGUUGUAAACUGUUAGUGCUGGCCCCUAGAGCCAGACAGCCUGGGCUCAAGUCUAGACUCCUUUGUCACCUCUGCACAAGUCUUUUUUUGGCCCAGCUUCCUUGCUGUAGUUUCUAGCAUAACACCAGGGAUGUGGUGGUAAAAGUUCCUAGAGAGAAAGUGUUGAGAACAGCUGCUGUCAGCCCAGGGUGCUCCGGGUAGUAAACGAUAGUGUUGGUUACCAGGGCUCUGCUGCGCCAAGGCAGUGGAGGGUGAGUCCUGGCAACCCCUGGGUGACCACACAGGGGUCUGACCUGCCAGCCUUGUCCUCUCCACCAGGUAUGUGCACUACGCGUGACCAGCCGGGCCCGCAGCCGCAUCCUCAGGGCAGGGGGCAAGAUCCUCACUUUCGACCAGCUGGCCCUGGACUCCCCUAAGGGCUGCGGCACUGUCCUGCUCUCCGGUCCUCGCAAGGGCCGAGAGGUGUACCGGCAUUUCGGCAAGGCCCCAGGAACCCCGCACAGCCACACCAAACCCUAUGUCCGCUCCAAGGGCCGGAAGUUCGAGCGUGCCAGAGGCCGACGGGCCAGCCGAGGCUACAAAAACUAACCCUGGAUCCUACUCUGUUAUUAAAAAGAUUUUUGCUGACAGUG